RNAcentral lists this long non-coding RNA (319 nucleotides) under Pelobates cultripes (western spadefoot toad). The record is from RNAcentral. Lineage: Eukaryota; Metazoa; Chordata; Amphibia; Anura; Pelobatidae.
ACUAUACCCCACUCCCUCUAACAUGUAAGCUCAUUGAGCAGGGCCCUCAACCCCUCUGUUACUGUGUCACUAUACCCCACUCCCUCUAACAUGUAAACUCACUGAGCAGGCCCUCAAUCCCUCUGUUACUGUGUCAUUAUACCCCACUCGCUCUAACAUGUAAACUCACUGAGCAGGGCCUCAAUCCCUCUGUUACUGUCACUAUACCCCACUCCCUCUAACAUGUAAACUCACUGAGCAGGCCCUCAAUCCCUCUGUUACUGUGUCAGUAUACCCCACUCCCUCUAACAUGUAAGCUCACUGAGCAGGGCCCUCAAUC